UACGUAGGGUGCGAGCGUUGUUCGGAAUUACCGGGCGUAAAGGGCGCGUAGGCGGCCCGCUAAGUCGAACGUGAAAUCCCCAGGCUCAACCUGGGAACUGCGUCCGAUACUGGCAGGCUUGAAUCCGGGAGAGGGAUGUGGAAUUCCAGGUGUAGCGGUGAAAUGCGUAGAUAUCUGGAGGAACACCGGUGGCGAAGGCGGCAUCCUGGACCGGUAUUGACGCUGAGGCGCGAAAGCUAGGGGAGCAAACGGG
RNAcentral lists this ribosomal RNA (253 nucleotides) under uncultured bacterium. RNAcentral describes it as "partial 16S ribosomal RNA". It matches the Rfam family "Bacterial small subunit ribosomal RNA", at positions 524 to 776 of the family's 1533-position model. The record is from RNAcentral.